Long non-coding RNA from Brienomyrus brachyistius, 389 nucleotides. RefSeq lists it as uncharacterized. The transcript is spliced from 3 exons. The record is from RefSeq and is a predicted model, not a curated record. NCBI's taxonomy places the organism in Eukaryota, Metazoa, Chordata, Actinopteri, Osteoglossiformes, Mormyridae.
CACCCCCAGUUUGGGAGCACCCUCUCCCUCUCCUCCCCCCACAGCUGUGACCGUUACUCCUCCUUGAGGAGUAACCGCUCCGCACCCUAUCCCAGCCCCUAUACCCACAGGAGUGCAUCACCCACUGCUUAUUCAGACACCUCGUCUACCUGUCUGUCCAUGUUGCCGUCCCAUGACAACUGGUCCAGCCUACAGGUGCCGUCCCAUUCCGGCAUGUUACCCAUGAGUCAUAGCGGCACCUCCGGGAGCAGCUCCAGGCAACACUGCAUGCUGAUUUAACGUCUUUCCUUAAUCUCCACCCCAUUGCUCACACACAGCCAGUAUCCCGGUUUGUGGUCAAUGAGCUCCUCCUCGCUCACUCCAGUUUCCCAGUCCAGUGGAAUGUACAA